This 237-nucleotide long non-coding RNA is filed under the name Elaeis guineensis (African oil palm). Its description in RNAcentral is "long non-coding RNA (EGUI_LNC039001)". Lineage: Eukaryota; Viridiplantae; Streptophyta; Magnoliopsida; Arecales; Arecaceae. The record is from RNAcentral.
CCCCUUUGAGCCAAGUGAUUCUAGAUUUCUACCGUCAUAAGAACUCCUAUUGAAUAAUAGAAUUGUAUUAGGCAAGGCUAGCAUAAAGAAUAUUCAUCUCAUUUGGUUAUAGUCCACCUUCACUAUCUUUCUUUUGUAGAUUAGCUAUAAUUGCUACAAUUUUCUCUAAUUUUUGAAAAUAUUACCCAUAACAAUUUUAUUCCACCGUUUCAACCUCCUCUUCAUAUGUUCUAAUCU